Molecule: ribosomal RNA, 609 nt
Filed under: uncultured bacterium
Lineage: Bacteria
Description: bacterial SSU rRNA
Rfam family: Bacterial small subunit ribosomal RNA
Source: RNAcentral
CCUACGGGAGGCAGCAGUGAGGAAUAUUGGACAAUGGGCGCAAGCCUGAUCCAGCCAUGCCGCGUGCAGGAAGACGCAUCUAUGGUGUGUAAACUGCUUUUGUACGGGAAGAAACACUCCCUCGUGAGGGAGCUUGACGGUACCGUAAGAAUAAGGAUCGGCUAACUCCGUGCCAGCAGCCGCGGUAAUACGGAGGAUCCAAGCGUUAUCCGGAAUCAUUGGGUUUAAAGGGUCCGUAGGCGGUUUAAUAAGUCAGUGGUGAAAGCCCAUCGCUCAACGAUGGAACGGCCAUUGAUACUGUUAGACUUGAAUUACUAGGAAGUAACUAGAAUAUGUAGUGUAGCGGUGAAAUGCUUAGAUAUUACAUGGAAUACCAAUUGCGAAGGCAGGUUACUACUAGUGGAUUGACGCUGAUGGACGAAAGCGUGGGGAGCGAACAGGAUUAGAUACCCUGGUAGUCCACGCCGUAAACGAUGGAUACUAGCUGUUGGGCGCAAGUUCAGUGGCUAAGCGAAAGUGAUAAGUAUCCCACCUGGGGAGUACGUUCGCAAGAAUGAAACUCAAAGUGAGUAGAGNGNGAGAGAGCGACGGACGACACGAGGGAGGAGG